GUGUCAGCCGCCGCGGUAAUACGGAGGGGGCUAGCGUUGUUCGGAAUUACUGGGCGUAAAGAGUCCGUAGGUGGCACUUCAAGUCUGCUUUCAAAGACCGAAGCUCAACUUCGGAAAGGGAGUGGAAACUGAAGAGCUAGAGUAUAGUAGGGGUAGAGGGAAUUCCUAGUGUAGCGGUGAAAUGCGUAGAGAUUAGGAAGAACACCAGUGGCGAAGGCGCUCUACUGGGCAUAUACUGACACUGAGGGACGAAAGCUAGGGGAGCGAAAGGGAUUAGAUACCCCUGUAGUCCUAGCGGUAAGCGAUGGAUACUAGGCGUAGUGCUGUUAGAAGGACUGUGCCGAAGCUAACGCGUUAAGUAUCCCGCCUGGGGAGUACGCACGCAAGUGUGAAACUCAAAUGAAUUGGCGGGG
RNAcentral lists this ribosomal RNA (413 nucleotides) under uncultured prokaryote. Its description in RNAcentral is "bacterial SSU rRNA". It matches the Rfam family "Bacterial small subunit ribosomal RNA", at positions 505 to 918 of the family's 1533-position model. The record is from RNAcentral.